Molecule: ribosomal RNA, 253 nt
Filed under: uncultured bacterium
Lineage: Bacteria
Description: partial 16S ribosomal RNA
Rfam family: Bacterial small subunit ribosomal RNA
Source: RNAcentral
UACGGGGGGGGCAAGCGUUGUUCGGAAUUACUGGGCGUAAAGGGCGCGUAGGCGGCCUGCUAAGUCGGAUGUGAAAUCCCUCGGCUCAACCGAGGAACUGCAUCCGAUACUGGCGGGCUUGAAUCCGGGAGAGGGAUGUGGAAUUCCAGGUGUAGCGGUGAAAUGCGUAGAUAUCGGAAGGAACAUCAGUGGCGAAAGCGGCUUCCUGGACCAGUACCGACGUUCAGGCACGAAAGCGUGGGGAGCAAACAGG